This 497-nucleotide ribosomal RNA is filed under the name uncultured bacterium. Its description in RNAcentral is "partial 16S ribosomal RNA". It matches the Rfam family "Bacterial small subunit ribosomal RNA", at positions 28 to 507 of the family's 1533-position model. The record is from RNAcentral.
GAUGAACGCUGGCGGCGUGCCUAAUACAUGCAAGUCGAGCGAACGGACGAGGAGCUUGCUUCUCUGAUGUUAGCGGCGGACGGGUGAGUAACACGUGGAUAACCUACCUAUAAGACUGGGAUAACUUCGGGAAACCGGAGCUAAUACCGGAUAAUAUUUUGAACCGCAUGGUUCAAAAGUGAAAGACGGUCUUGCUGUCACUUAUAGAUGGAUCCGCGCUGCAUUAGCUAGUUGGUAAGGUAACGGCUUACCAAGGCAACGAUGCAUAGCCGACCUGAGAGGGUGAUCGGCCACACUGGAACUGAGACACGGUCCAGACUCCUACGGGAGGCAGCAGUAGGGAAUCUUCCGCAAUGGGCGAAAGCCUGACGGAGCAACGCCGCGUGAGUGAUGAAGGUCUUCGGAUCGUAAAACUCUGUUAUUAGGGAAGAACAUAUGUGUAAGUAACUGUGCACAUCUUGACGGUACCGAAUCAGAAAGCCACGGCUAACUACGUG